Long non-coding RNA from Synchiropus splendidus (mandarinfish), 779 nucleotides. RefSeq lists it as uncharacterized. The record is from RefSeq and is a predicted model, not a curated record. The transcript has 3 exons. NCBI's taxonomy places the organism in Eukaryota, Metazoa, Chordata, Actinopteri, Syngnathiformes, Callionymidae.
UUGUGGGAGACAUCGACGCCGGUUUCCUCAGUACCUCUGGAUCUACUAUCCGGACCGUUCCCUGCUGAAGACUCGACGUCGGCAUCUGGGCUAUCCGCACCUCCACAGCCACCGUCGCCGACACCAUCAGCACAGCCAGCAACCACAGACAAGCCGCGGACAUCGCCCCGGAUACCAAAACAAAAAGAAAGAAAUACUUGUGUGUGUGUGUGUGUGUGUGCAUGAAAAGAUCACCCGGAACCCGGAAAUCAGACACGAUAUAUUUAACUACCUAUGUUUUUUGUUUUAUUCAACGCCUGUGCGUAUGAAAACAGACGAUCAGUCAGAGGUCGAAGGAGUAGGGCACUCGCUGGUUGAUUCUUUAACUCACCAGACGCCUCAGCUGAUAGCAGAUACAAAGACAACGAGCACGCCACACCUUCUACCUGUCGCUUCAACACCAACACCAACACCAACGUUUGCUCUCCCCUCUGGGUCUUGGCCUUUGUGGGAGACAUCGACGCCGGUUUCGUCAGUACCUCUGGAUCUACUAUCCGGACCGUUCCCUGCUGAAGACUCGACGUCGGCAUCUGGGCUAUCCGCACCUCCACAGCCACCGUCGCCGACACCAUCAGCACAGCCAGCAACCACAGACAAGCAGCGGACAUCGCCCCGGAUACCAAAACAAAAAGAAAGAAAUACUUGUGUGUGUGUGUGUGUGUGUGUGCAUGAAAAGAUCACCCGGAACCCGGAAAUCAGACACGACCGGGAAGUCAUCCGGACCCUGUGGAUGCUGAUCA